AGACCCGAAACCCGGUGAUCUAGCCAUGGGCAGGUUGAAGGUUGGGUAACACUAACUGGAGGACCGAACCGACUAAUGUUGAAAAAUUAGCGGAUGACCUGUGGCUGGGGGUGAAAGGCCAAUCAAACCGGGAGAUAGCUGGUUCUCCCCGAAAGCUAUUUAGGUAGCGCCUCGUGAAUUCAUCUCCGGGGGUAGAGCACUGUUUCGGCUAGGGGGCCAUCCCGGCUUACCAACCCGAUGCAAACUGCGAAUACCGGAGAAUGUUAUCACGGGAGACACACGGCGGGUGCUAACGUCCGUCGUGAAGAGGGAAACAACCCAGACCGCCAGCUAAGGUCCCAAAGUCAUGGUUAAGUGGGAAACGAUGUGGGAAGGCCCAGACAGCCAGGAUGUUGGCUUAGAAGCAGCCAUCAUUUAAAGAAAGCGUAAUAGCUCACUGGUCGAGUCGGCCUGCGCGGAAGAUGUAACGGGGCUAAACCAUGCACCGAAGCUGCGGCAGCGAACGUAUCACUUAAAGCGAUUCAGCGGGUUACGAUUGACGGAGCGAAGCGACGUCAAAGCGUAUACAAAGUCGAGUCGGUUUAAGGAUACGUUCGUUGGGUAGGGGAGCGUUCUGUAAGCCUGUGAAGGUGUGUCGUGAGGCAUGCUGGAGGUAUCAGAAGUGCGAAUGCUGACAUAAGUAACGAUAAAGCGGGUGAAAAGCCCGCUCGCCGGAAGACCAAGGGUUCCUGUCCAACGUUAAUCGGGGCAGGGUGAGUCGACCCCUAAGGCGAGGCCGAAAGGCGUAGUCGAUGGGAAACGGGUUAAUAUUCCCGUACUUGGUGUUACUGCGAAGGGGGGACGGAGAAGGCUAUGUUGGCCGGGCGACGGUUGUCCCGGUUUAAGCGUGUAGGCUGGUUUUCCAGGCAAAUCCGGAAAAUCAAGGCUGAGGCGUGAUGACGAGGCACUACGGUG
RNAcentral lists this ribosomal RNA (954 nucleotides) under Salmonella enterica subsp. enterica serovar Infantis. RNAcentral describes it as "partial 23S ribosomal RNA". It matches the Rfam family "Bacterial large subunit ribosomal RNA", at positions 711 to 1584 of the family's 2925-position model. Lineage: Bacteria; Pseudomonadati; Pseudomonadota; Gammaproteobacteria; Enterobacterales; Enterobacteriaceae. RNAcentral also lists the same sequence under 1 other name. The record is from RNAcentral.